GACGAACGCUGGCGGCGUGCUUAACACAUGCAAGUCGAACGGAAAGGCCCAGCUUGCUGGGUGCUCGAGUGGCGAACGGGUGAGUAACACGUGGGUGAUCUGCCCCUAACUUCGGGAUAAGCUCGGGAAACUGGGUCUAAUACCGGAUAGGACAAUCGUUUAGUGUCGGUUGUGGAAAGUUUUUUCGGUUAGGGAUGAGCCCGCGGCCUAUCAGCUUGUUGGUGGGGUAAUGGCCUACCAAGGCGUCGACGGGUAGCCGGCCUGAGAGGGUGGACGGCCACAUUGGGACUGAGAUACGGCCCAGACUCCUACGGGAGGCAGCAGUGGGGAAUAUUGCACAAUGGGCGCAAGCCUGAUGCAGCGACGCCGCGUGGGGGAUGACGGCCUUCGGGUUGUAAACCUCUUUCGACAGGGACGAAGCUUUGGUGACGGUACCUGUAUAAGAAGCACCGGCUAACUACGUG
This 464-nucleotide ribosomal RNA is filed under the name uncultured bacterium. Its description in RNAcentral is "partial 16S ribosomal RNA". It matches the Rfam family "Bacterial small subunit ribosomal RNA", at positions 28 to 507 of the family's 1533-position model. The record is from RNAcentral.